CCUACGGGAGGCAGCAGUGAGGAAUAUUGGUCAAUGGGCGGAAGCCUGAACCAGCCAAGUAGCGUGCAGGAUGACGGCCCUACGGGUUGUAAACUUCUUUUAUACGGGAAUAACGCGCCUUACGUGUAGGGCUUUGCAUGUACCGUAUGAAUAAGGACCGGCUAAUUCCGUGCCAGCAGCCGCGGUAAUACGGAAGGUCCGGGCGUUAUCCGGAUUUAUUGGGUUUAAAGGGAGCGUAGGCCGCAUGUCAAGCGUGCUGUGAAAGGUUCGGGCUCAACCCUGGCCUUGCAGCGCGAACUGGCGUGCUUGAGUCCGCGGAAGGCAGGCGGAAUUCGUCGUGUAGCGGUGAAAUGCUUAGAUAUGACGAAGAACCCCGAUUGGGAAGGCAGCUUGCU
This 395-nucleotide ribosomal RNA is filed under the name uncultured bacterium. RNAcentral describes it as "partial 16S ribosomal RNA". It matches the Rfam family "Bacterial small subunit ribosomal RNA", at positions 338 to 730 of the family's 1533-position model. The record is from RNAcentral.